UACGGAGGGUGCAAGCGUUAUCCGGAUUUACUGGGUUUAAAGGGUGCGUAGGCGGCGCGGUAAGUCGGGUGUGAAAUCUCGGGGCUUAACUCCGAAACUGCAUUCGAUACUGCCGUGCUUGAGGACUGGAGAGGAGACUGGAAUUUACGGUGUAGCGGUGAAAUGCGUAGAUAUCGUAAGGAAGACCAGUGGCGAAGGCGGGUCUCUGGGACGGUACUGACGCUGAGACGCGAAAGCGUGGGGAGCGAACAGG
RNAcentral lists this ribosomal RNA (253 nucleotides) under uncultured bacterium. RNAcentral describes it as "partial 16S ribosomal RNA". It matches the Rfam family "Bacterial small subunit ribosomal RNA", at positions 524 to 776 of the family's 1533-position model. The record is from RNAcentral.